RNAcentral lists this ribosomal RNA (1058 nucleotides) under uncultured Pseudomonas sp. RNAcentral's name for it is "bacterial SSU rRNA". It matches the Rfam family "Bacterial small subunit ribosomal RNA", at positions 10 to 1064 of the family's 1533-position model. Lineage: Bacteria; Pseudomonadati; Pseudomonadota; Gammaproteobacteria; Pseudomonadales; Pseudomonadaceae. The record is from RNAcentral.
AGUUGAUCCUGGCUCAGAUUGAACGCUGGCGGCAGGCCUAACACAUGCAAGUCGAGCGGUAGAGAGAAGCUUGCUUCUCUUGAGAGCGGCGGACGGGUGAGUAAUGCCUAGGAAUCUGCCUGGUAGUGGGGGAUAACGUUCGGAAACGGACGCUAAUACCGCAUACGUCCUACGGGAGAAAGCAGGGGACCUUCGGGCCUUGCGCUAUCAGAUGAGCCUAGGUCGGAUUAGCUAGUUGGUGAGGUAAUGGCUCACCAAGGCGACGAUCCGUAACUGGUCUGAGAGGAUGAUCAGUCACACUGGAACUGAGACACGGUCCAGACUCCUACGGGAGGCAGCAGUGGGGAAUAUUGGACAAUGGGCGAAAGCCUGAUCCAGCCAUGCCGCGUGUGUGAAGAAGGUCUUCGGAUUGUAAAGCACUUUAAGUUGGGAGGAAGGGUUGUAGAUUAAUACUCUGCAAUUUUGACGUUACCGACAGAAUAAGCACCGGCUAACUCUGUGCCAGCAGCCGCGGUAAUACAGAGGGUGCAAGCGUUAAUCGGAAUUACUGGGCGUAAAGCGCGCGUAGGUGGUUUGUUAAGUUGGAUGUGAAAUCCCCGGGCUCAACCUGGGAACUGCAUUCAAAACUGACUGACUAGAGUAUGGUAGAGGGUGGUGGAAUUUCCUGUGUAGCGGUGAAAUGCGUAGAUAUAGGAAGGAACACCAGUGGCGAAGGCGACCACCUGGACUAAUACUGACACUGAGGUGCGAAAGCGUGGGGAGCAAACAGGAUUAGAUACCCUGGUAGUCCACGCCGUAAACGAUGUCAACUAGCCGUUGGAAGCCUUGAGCUUUUAGUGGCGCAGCUAACGCAUUAAGUUGACCGCCUGGGGAGUACGGCCGCAAGGUUAAAACUCAAAUGAAUUGACGGGGGCCCGCACAAGCGGUGGAGCAUGUGGUUUAAUUCGAAGCAACGCGAAGAACCUUACCAGGCCUUGACAUCCAAUGAACUUUCUAGAGAUAGAUUGGUGCCUUCGGGAACAUUGAGACAGGUGCUGCAUGGCUGUCGUCAGCUCGUG